Non-coding RNA from Triticum urartu, 792 nucleotides. The record is from RefSeq and is a predicted model, not a curated record. Lineage: Eukaryota; Viridiplantae; Streptophyta; Magnoliopsida; Poales; Poaceae.
GGUUCACUGUGGCAAUGCAGAUGCCCCGAGAAGAGGUAGUAGUGGUGGUGCGGGCGCGCCGUGGGCGAGGUGGGCUUCGGGUGUAGCGGCGGGUGCGGCUGCCCCAUCGAUGGCAGCGCGAUGCCCCCCGCCGUCGGGCCCACACCGCCGGACAUUGGCGGUGACCGGAGACUGUCGCGAUGAUUGUUGGUCGGUUGCGGAGCUUGCAACACGAGCUGGUAGCGCCAGCGUUGGCGAGAGAGUGAGGUGUCCCCAGUGCAGUAGGCGGGGGAAAGCUUAAGGCGACCAGUGCCCUCCGGUCCUCAUCGCUGCACGUCGAGGUCAAGUCUGAGGCUGCAAGCUGCAAGCUGAUGCAUCCACAGACAUCAUCGUCGACUGCAUCUUCAACCUCCGGAUGCCGCUUCCGUACACUGCUUCGUCAACCUCAGCCGUGACCCUUCCUCCCGGUCGCCGUGUUUAAUAUCCUAUUCGUCGGCCGCCUAUCUCGAGCACCGCGAGCGAGGUGGAUGCCCUGACUGCCAAUCACCAAGAAACUCCGCGGAAAGCUGCUGCAGAUAGGUGUUAUGCUGGUAUAUUCUUUCUGUAGCCUUUGUUCAGGUAAAUCAAACCAAGACUUGGAGACUAUAGAUAGCCACUCUUUUUUUACCAACCUUUGUUUUUGUUAAUAAUGAGUCUGACAAUGAAGUGACUACAUCUCCAUCUUUUCACCUUUGUUUCUACUGGGCUUCUCAAAGGUCCAUUCCUGUAAUAUUUUGGAGGACAUCUCCCAUUACAAUCGUUGGGGGUUUUCAA